AAUUCCGUCCAAGGCUAA
This 18-nucleotide small nuclear RNA is filed under the name Arabidopsis thaliana (thale cress). RNAcentral describes it as "snRNA_05668". Lineage: Eukaryota; Viridiplantae; Streptophyta; Magnoliopsida; Brassicales; Brassicaceae. The record is from RNAcentral.